GAAAUGACAGAACUGUGAUCGCUGAAUACUACUACUACUUAUCAUUGUAAUUAACAUUAUUGAAACCCUAGACGUCGACGAUGACGGAACCGAUAUCAGUCGAAGAAGACGACAAGCAAGCAACGGGACUUCAACGACGCGUCGAACCAAUUUCGUCGUCGUCGGCGGAGGUUCAGAUAUGCAACAAUCGCAAGGAGAAAAGGAAGUUGACGAAGAAGGAGAAGAGGAAGCAGAAAAGGAAGGAACUAGCUGAGAAGACGCGCCAGGAAGAGGAGGCUAAGCUGAAUGAUCCCGAGGAGCUUCGCAGGAUUCAGCUGGAGGAAGAGGAAGAGAAGGAGAGAUUAGAGAGAGAAAGGAGAGAGUUUGAGGAAAGAGAGAGGCUCUUUCUCGAAGCACUGGCUCGAAAAGAAGCUCAAGAGGUAGAAGAAGAAGAACGAAGGAGAGUGGAAGACGAGGAAGAAAAGGCAAAACAAAGCCAGGUUGCCCUUGAAAAUGAGCCAGAUGAAGAUGUCGAGUGGGAAUAUGUAGAAGAUGGGCCUCCCGAAAUUAUAUGGCAAGGAAAUGAGAUAAUUGUGAAGAGGAAUAAAGUGAAAGUGAAAAAGAAGGAUCAAGAUCCUGUGAUUGUGAAAGAGGAUUCCAACA
This 642-nucleotide unclassified non-coding RNA is filed under the name Hevea brasiliensis (rubber tree). The record is from RNAcentral. Lineage: Eukaryota; Viridiplantae; Streptophyta; Magnoliopsida; Malpighiales; Euphorbiaceae.